GGUAGCAAUACCAUAGUGGCGCACGGGUGCGUAACACGUAACUAACCUACCUAUAACUGGGGGAUAGCCCGCCGAAAGGCGGAUUAAUACCGCAUAAGCUCUUUGAGUGGCAUCACUUGAUUAGUAAAGAUUUAUUGGUUAUAGAUGGGGUUGCGGGUCAUUAGCUAGUUGGUAAGGUAACGGCUUACCAAGGCGACGAUGACUAGGGGAGCUGAGAGGCUGGUCCCCCACACGGGCACUGAGAUACGGGCCCGACUCCUACGGGAGGCAGCAGUAGGGAAUAUUGGGCAAUGGGCGAGAGCCUGACCCAGCCAUGCCGCGUGCAGGAAGAAGGCUUUCUGAGUCGUAAACUGCUUUUGACAGGGAAGAAUAAGCUGUACGUGUACAGUGAUGACGGUACCUGCAGAAUAAGCACCGGCUAACUCCGUGCCAGCAGCCGCGGUAAUACGGAGGGUGCGAGCGUUGUCCGGAUUUAUUGGGUUUAAAGGGUGCGUAGGCGGCCUUUUAAGUCCGGGGUGAAAGCCCGCUGCUCAACAGCGGAACUGCCCUGGAUACUGGAAGGCUUGAGUACAGACGAGGUUGGCGGAAUGGACCGAGUAGCGGUGAAAUGCAUAGAUACGGUCCAGAACCCCGAUUGCGAAGGCAGCUGACUAGGCUGUUACUGACGCUGAGGCACGAAAGCGUGGGGAGCGAACAGGAUUAGAUACCCUGGUAGUCCACGCCGUAAACGAUGGAUACUCGCUGCGAGCUAAAGAUUGUUCGUGGCUUAGGGAAACCGA
This 779-nucleotide ribosomal RNA is filed under the name Hymenobacter sp. RNAcentral's name for it is "bacterial SSU rRNA". It matches the Rfam family "Bacterial small subunit ribosomal RNA", at positions 72 to 860 of the family's 1533-position model. Lineage: Bacteria; Pseudomonadati; Bacteroidota; Cytophagia; Cytophagales; Hymenobacteraceae. The record is from RNAcentral.